UACGGAGGGGGCGAGCGUUAUUCGGAAUUAUUGGGCGUAAAGGGCGCGUAGGCGGCCCGCUAAGUCAAAGGUGAAAUCCCUCGGCUCAACUGAGGAACUGCCUUUGAGACUGUCGGGCUUGAGGCCGGGAGGGGGUAGCGGAAUUCCCAGUGUAGCGGUGAAAUGCGUAGAUAUCUGCAGGAACACCCGUGGCGAAAGCGGCGCGCUGGACCACUACUGACGCCGAGGAACGAAAGCUAGGGGAGCAAACAGG
RNAcentral lists this ribosomal RNA (253 nucleotides) under uncultured prokaryote. Its description in RNAcentral is "partial 16S ribosomal RNA". It matches the Rfam family "Bacterial small subunit ribosomal RNA", at positions 524 to 776 of the family's 1533-position model. The record is from RNAcentral.